AUGCCUUGCCGGAAAUCAGGGAUUCUCAGGGAUGGAAGUGAGACAAAAUACCUUCCACCUCUCAGAAUCCCUAUUUUCUUUCAAGGCCC
This is a microRNA precursor of Monodelphis domestica (gray short-tailed opossum), 89 nucleotides long. The record is from Ensembl. NCBI's taxonomy places the organism in Eukaryota, Metazoa, Chordata, Mammalia, Didelphimorphia, Didelphidae.